This 477-nucleotide ribosomal RNA is filed under the name Epicoccum nigrum. RNAcentral describes it as "eukaryotic LSU rRNA". The stretch from base 106 to 259 matches the Rfam family "5.8S ribosomal RNA". Lineage: Eukaryota; Fungi; Ascomycota; Dothideomycetes; Pleosporales; Didymellaceae. The record is from RNAcentral.
AUGUCUUUUGAGUACCUUCGUUUCCUCGGCGGGUCCGCCCGCCGGUUGGACAACAUUCAAACCCUUUGCAGUUGCAAUCAGCGUCUGAAAAAACUUAAUAGUUACAACUUUCAACAACGGAUCUCUUGGUUCUGGCAUCGAUGAAGAACGCAGCGAAAUGCGAUAAGUAGUGUGAAUUGCAGAAUUCAGUGAAUCAUCGAAUCUUUGAACGCACAUUGCGCCCCUUGGUAUUCCAUGGGGCAUGCCUGUUCGAGCGUCAUUUGUACCUUCAAGCUCUGCUUGGUGUUGGGUGUUUUGUCUCGCCUCCGCGCGCAGACUCGCCUUAAAACAAUUGGCAGCCGGCGUAUUGAUUUCGGAGCGCAGUACAUCUCGCGCUUUGCACUCAUAACGACGACGUCCAAAAGUACAUUUUUACACUCUUGACCUCGGAUCAGGUAGGGAUACCCGCUGAACUUAAGCAUAUCAAUAAGCGGAGGA